CGAAGACUGCGAAGUGGAGCAAAUCCCUAAAAGCCAUCUCAGUUCGGAUUGCAGGCUGCAACUCGCCUGCAUGAAGCUGGAAUUGCUAGUAAUCGCGGAUCAGCAAGCCGCGGUGAAUACGUUCCCGGGCCUUGUACACACCGCCCGUCACACCAUGGGAGUCGGAUAUGCCCGAAGCCGGUGACCUAACCGCAAGGAGGACGCCGCCGAAGGUGGGAUUGAUGACUGGGGUGAAGUCGUAACAAGGUACC
This 251-nucleotide ribosomal RNA is filed under the name uncultured bacterium. Its description in RNAcentral is "partial 16S ribosomal RNA". It matches the Rfam family "Bacterial small subunit ribosomal RNA", at positions 1250 to 1500 of the family's 1533-position model. The record is from RNAcentral.